Molecule: ribosomal RNA, 1366 nt
Filed under: uncultured prokaryote
Description: partial 16S ribosomal RNA
Rfam family: Bacterial small subunit ribosomal RNA
Source: RNAcentral
GAACGAACGCUGGCGGCAGGCUUCAUACAUGCAAGUCGCGCGAUUAAAGCCCCUUCGGGGGUGUAUAAAGUGGCGAACGGGUGAGUAACAGGUGGAUAAUCUGCCUUUCGGUGGGGGAUAACGGCUGGAAACGGCCGCUAAUACCGCAUGUGAUUGCUAGUUCUUCGGAACCUGCAAGGAAAGGCGCUUCACGGCCUCGCCGAAGGAUGAGUCCGCCCCCCAUUAGCUAGUUGGUGAGAUAAUAGCUCACCAAGGCUUCGAUGGGUAGCCGAGCUGAGAGGUUGAUCGGCCACACUGGGAUUGAGAUACGGCCCAGACACCUACGGGUGGCAGCAGUAGGGAAUAUUGCGCAAUGGGCGAAAGCCUGACGCAGCCAUGCCGCGUGGAUGAUGAAGGCCUUCGGGUCGUAAAACCCUUUUCUGAGGGAAGAACAACCAGAGGAGGAAAUGCCUUUGGUCUGACGGUACCUCAGGAAUAAGCAACGGCUAACUCCGUGCCAGCAGCCGCGGUAAUACGGAGGUUGCAAGCGUUGUUCGGAAUAACUGGGCGUAAAGGGAGUGUAGGCGGUUCAGUCAGUCUGAAGUGAAAGCCCGGGGCUCAACCCCGGAAGGGCUUCGGAUACUGCCUGGCUUGAGUACGUGAGAGGUGAGUGGAAUUUCAGGUGAAGCGGUGAAAUGCGUAGAUAUCUGAAGGAACAUCGGUGGCGAAAGCGGCUCACUGGCACGAAACUGACGCUGAGGCUCGAAAGCGUGGGGAGCGAACGGGAUUAGAUACCCCGGUAGUCCACGCCGUAAACGUUGUGCACUAGGUGUGGGAGGUAUCGACCCCUUCCGUGCCGCAGCUAACGCAUUAAGUGCACCGCCUGGGGAGUACGCCCGCAAGGGUGAAACUCAAAGGAAUUGACGGGGGCCCGCACAAGCGGUGGAGCAUGUGGUUUAAUUCGAGGCAACGCGAAGAACCUUACCCAGACUUGACAUCCCGUGACCGCUCUAGAGAUAGAGCUUCUCUUCGGAGCAGAGAGACAGGUGGUGCAUGGUUGUCGUCAGCUCGUGUCGUGAGAUGUUGGGUUAAGUCCCGCAACGAGCGCAACCCCUAUUGCCAGUUGCCAUCAUUUAGUUGGGAACUCUGGCGAGACUACCGGUGAUAAACCGGAGGAAGGUGGGGACGACGUCAAGUCAUCACGGCCCUUAUGUCUGGGGCUACACACGUAAUACAAUGGUAACGACAGAGGGCAGCUACCCCGCGAGGGCAAGCGAAUCCUAAAACGUUAUCUCAGUUCGGAUUGCAGGCUGCAACUCGCCUGCAUGAAGUCGGAAUUGCUAGUAAUGGCAGGUCAGCAUACUGCCGUGAAUACGUUCCCGGGCCU